RNAcentral lists this ribosomal RNA (263 nucleotides) under uncultured bacterium. RNAcentral describes it as "partial 16S ribosomal RNA". It matches the Rfam family "Bacterial small subunit ribosomal RNA", at positions 793 to 1055 of the family's 1533-position model. The record is from RNAcentral.
GUCCACGCCGUAAACGAUGUCAACUAGCCGUUAGAACCUUUAAGGUUUUAGUGGUGCAGCUAACGCGAUAAGUUGACCGCCUGGGGAGUACGGUCGCAAGAUUAAAACUCAAAUGAAUUGACGGGGGCCCGCACAAGCGGUGGAGUAUGUGGUUUAAUUCGAUGCAACGCGAAGAACCUUACAUGGCCUUGACAUGUCCGGAACUUAGCAGAGAUGCUUUGGUGCCUUCGGGAACCGGAACACAGGUGCUGCAUGGCUGUCGU